GAUGAACGCUGGCGGCGUGCCUAAUACAUGCAAGUCGAGCGAACAGACUAUUAUCGUGCUCCUCUUACGUUAGCGGCUGACGUGUGAGUAACACUUGGAUAACCUACCUAUAAGACUGGUAUAACUUCGGGAAACCUGAGCUAAUACCAGAUAAUAUAUUGAACCGCAUGGUGCAAUAGUUAAAGAGGCUUUUUCUGUCGCUUAUAGAUGGAGUCGCGCCGCAUUAGCGAGUUGGUAAGGUAGCGGCUUACCAAGGCAACGAUGCGUAGCCGACCUGAAGUGGUGAUCGGCCAAACUGGAACUGAGAGACGGACCAGACCCCUACGGACAGGACCAGCAGGGAAUCUUCCGAGAUGGGCGCAAGCCUCACGGAGCAACACCGUGUGAGUGAUGAAGGCCUCCGGAUCGUAAAACACUGUUAUCAGCGAAGAACAAAUGUGUACGUAACCCUGCACGUAUUGACGGUACCUAAUAAGAAAGCGACGGCUAACUCCGUG
This 497-nucleotide ribosomal RNA is filed under the name uncultured bacterium. RNAcentral's name for it is "partial 16S ribosomal RNA". It matches the Rfam family "Bacterial small subunit ribosomal RNA", at positions 28 to 507 of the family's 1533-position model. The record is from RNAcentral.